CCUACGGGGGGCAGCAGUGGGGAAUAUUGGACAAUGGGGGGAACCCUGAUCCAGCGGCGCCGCGUGAGUGAAGAAGUAUUUCGGUAUGUAAAGCUCUAUCAGCAGGGAAGAAAGACAUGACGGUACCGGACUAAGAAGCCCCGGCUAACUACGUGCCAGCAGCCGCGGUAAUACGGAGGGGGCAAGCGUUAUCCGGAUUUACUGGGUGUAAAGGGAGCGUAGACGGCGAUGCAAGUCUGAAGUGGAAGGCGGGGGCCCAACCCCUGGACUGCUUUGGAAACUGUAUGGCUGGAGUGCAGGAGCGGUAAGUGGAAUUCCUAGUGUAGCGGUGAAAUGCGUAGAUAUUAGGAGGAACACCAGUGGCGAAGGCGGCUUACUGGACUGUAACUGACGUUGUGGCUCGAAAGCGUGGGGAGCAAACAGGAUUAGAUACCCGAGUAGUC
RNAcentral lists this ribosomal RNA (443 nucleotides) under uncultured bacterium. Its description in RNAcentral is "partial 16S ribosomal RNA". It matches the Rfam family "Bacterial small subunit ribosomal RNA", at positions 338 to 795 of the family's 1533-position model. The record is from RNAcentral.